RNAcentral lists this transfer RNA (74 nucleotides) under Holosporaceae bacterium. RNAcentral describes it as "tRNA-Gln". It matches the Rfam family "tRNA". From Rfam's summary of the family: Transfer RNA (tRNA) molecules are approximately 80 nucleotides in length. The record is from RNAcentral. Lineage: Bacteria; Pseudomonadati; Pseudomonadota; Alphaproteobacteria; Holosporales; Holosporaceae.
UGGGGAAUAGUUUAGCGGUAGAACUUCCGGCUCUGGACCGGGCAACUGUGGUUCGAAUCCACGUUCCCCAGCCA